RNAcentral lists this ribosomal RNA (186 nucleotides) under Platymeris biguttatus. Its description in RNAcentral is "partial 28S ribosomal RNA". It matches the Rfam family "Eukaryotic large subunit ribosomal RNA", at positions 981 to 1161 of the family's 3401-position model. The record is from RNAcentral. Lineage: Eukaryota; Metazoa; Arthropoda; Insecta; Hemiptera; Reduviidae.
GCUUGCGCUCGAUUGAGGAGUCUCAUCCGGUAGAGCGAAUGAUUAGAGGCAUUGGGGUCGAAACGACCUCAACCUAUUCUCAAACUCCAAAUAGAUGAGACCCCCGGCUUUCUUAAAAGUGAAGCCGUGGGAUGGUGAUCAGAGUGCCAAGUGGGCCAAUUUUGGUAAGCAGAACUGGCGCUGUGG